GGGGGGCGUGCCUUACCAUGCAAGUCGAACGGCAGCACGGGUGCUUGCACCUGGUGGCGAGUGGCGAACGGGUGAGUAAUACAUCGGAACAUGUCCUGUAGUGGGGGAUAGCCCGGCGAAAGCCGGAUUAAUACCGCAUACGAUCUACGGAUGAAAGCGGGGGACCUUCGGGCCUCGCGCUAUAGGGUUGGCCGAUGGCUGAUUAGCUAGUUGGUGGGGUAAAGGCCUACCAAGGCGACGAUCAGUAGCUGGUCUGAGAGGACGACCAGCCACACUGGGACUGAGACACGGCCCAGACUCCUACGGGAGGCAGCAGUGGGGAAUUUUGGACAAUGGGCGAAAGCCUGAUCCAGCAAUGCCGCGUGUGUGAAGAAGGCCUUCGGGUUGUAAAGCACUUUUGUCCGGAAAGAAAUCCUUGGCUCUAAUACAGUCGGGGGAUGACGGUACCGGAAGAAUAAGCACCGGCUAACUACGUGCCAGCAGCCGCGGUAAUACGUAGGGUGCGAGCGUUAAUCGGAAUUACUGGGCGUAAAGCGUGCGCAGGCGGUUUGCUAAGACCGAUGUGAAAUCCCCGGGCUCAACCUGGGAACUGCAUUGGUGACUGGCAGGCUAGAGUAUGGCAGAGGGGGGUAGAAUUCCACGUGUAGCAGUGAAAUGCGUAGAGAUGUGGAGGAAUACCGAUGGCGAAGGCAGCCCCCUGGGCCAAUACUGACGCUCAUGCACGAAAGCGUGGGGAGCAAACAGGAUUAGAUACCCUGGUAGUCCACGCCCUAAACGAUGUCAACUAGUUGUUGGGGAUUCAUUUCCUUAGUAACGUAGCUAACGCGUGAAGUUGACCGCCUGGGGAGUACGGUCGCAAGAUUAAAACUCAGAGGAAUUGACGGGGACCCGCACAAGCGGUGGAUGAUGUGGAUUAAUUCGAUGCAACGCGAAAAACCUUACCUACCCUUGACAUGGUCGGAAUCCCGCUGAGAGGUGGGAGUGCUCUAAAUAGAACCGGCGCACACGUGCUGCAUGGCUGUCGUCAGCUCGUGUCCUGAGAUGGUGGGUUUAGUUCCGCACGAGCGCACCCUUGUCCUUAGUUGCUACGCAGGAGACUCUACGAAACUGCCGGUGACAACCGGAGGAAGUGGGGAUGACGUCAAGUCCUCUGGCCCUUAUGGGUGGGGUGCGAGGCCUACAAUGGUCGAAACAAGGGUUGCCACCCGGGAGGGGGACCUAUCCCGAAAAACCAUCUAAACCCGAGUUGCCUUUGA
This 1256-nucleotide ribosomal RNA is filed under the name Burkholderia sp. RNAcentral describes it as "bacterial SSU rRNA". It matches the Rfam family "Bacterial small subunit ribosomal RNA", at positions 37 to 1308 of the family's 1533-position model. Lineage: Bacteria; Pseudomonadati; Pseudomonadota; Betaproteobacteria; Burkholderiales; Burkholderiaceae. The record is from RNAcentral.